Molecule: non-coding RNA, 342 nt
Organism: Clostridiales bacterium
Lineage: Bacteria; Bacillati; Bacillota; Clostridia; Eubacteriales
Rfam family: Bacterial RNase P class A
About the family: Ribonuclease P (RNase P) is a ubiquitous endoribonuclease, found in archaea, bacteria and eukarya as well as chloroplasts and mitochondria. Its best characterised activity is the generation of mature 5'-ends of tRNAs by cleaving the 5'-leader elements of precursor-tRNAs. Cellular RNase Ps are ribonucleoproteins.
Source: Rfam
UCAGAUUAGUGAAUAAACGCGCUACUUAGCUGAAAAGCUAAGUAGUGAGGAAAGUCCGAGCACCACGAUCAAAAACGCCAGAUAACGUCUGGUAAAGGUGACUUUAAGGAUAGUGCAACAGAAAUAGACAGCAGCUUAGGCUGUGAUGGUGGAAAGGCGAGGUAAGAGCUCACCGGAACUGAUAGGAGUCAGUUGCCCUGUAAACCCCGUUUGGUGCAACACUGUGGAAAGCGAUAAUAUGAUCGUAACGCUUUAGGAGGUGGCUUUCGAGCUAGUUGGCAACAACUAGAAUAGAUAAAUGUUUAUUCACGACAGAACUCGGCUUAUAGCUAGUCUGAGAUG